This 495-nucleotide ribosomal RNA is filed under the name uncultured bacterium. Its description in RNAcentral is "partial 16S ribosomal RNA". It matches the Rfam family "Bacterial small subunit ribosomal RNA", at positions 28 to 507 of the family's 1533-position model. The record is from RNAcentral.
GACGAACGCUGGCGGCGUGCCUAAUACAUGCAAGUAGAACGCUGAAGGAGGAGCUUGCUUCUCUGGAUGAGUUGCGAACGGGUGAGUAACGCGUAGGUAACCUGCCUGGUAGCGGGGGAUAACUAUUGGAAACGAUAGCUAAUACCGCAUAAGAGUAGAUGUUGCAUGACAUUUGCUUAAAAGGUGCAAUUGCAUCACUACCAGAUGGACCUGCGUUGUAUUAGCUAGUUGGUGAGGUAACGGCUCACCAAGGCAACGAUACAUAGCCGACCUGAGAGGGUGAUCGGCCACACUGGGACUGAGACACGGCCCAGACUCCUACGGGAGGCAGCAGUAGGGAAUCUUCGGCAUUGGACGGAAGUCUGACCGAGCAACGCCGCGUGAGUGAAGAAGGUUUUCGGAUCGUAAAGCUCUGUUGUAAGAGAAGAACGAGUGUGAGAGUGGAAAGUUCACACUGUGACGGUAUCUUACCAGAAAGGGACGGCUAACUACGUG